GCUCCCGUGGCGGAAUCUGGUAUACGCGUACGCUUUAGGAGCGUAUCCCGCAAGGGUUAGAGGUUCAACUCCUCUCGGGAGCA
This is a non-coding RNA of Spirochaetes bacterium GWB1_59_5, 83 nucleotides long. NCBI's taxonomy places the organism in Bacteria, Pseudomonadati, Spirochaetota. The record is from Rfam.